RNAcentral lists this long non-coding RNA (457 nucleotides) under Sinocyclocheilus grahami. RNAcentral's name for it is "lncRNA (ENSSGRG00000046173.1)". Lineage: Eukaryota; Metazoa; Chordata; Actinopteri; Cypriniformes; Cyprinidae. The record is from RNAcentral.
AUCUUGAGUGUCAUGCAUCAUGUACAUUUCACGUCUUUGGAUAUUUUUUGGUGCUUUGGUGUCUUCAAAUGCUCUGGACCGCUGGAAUACAAGAUGUAUAGAUGUCACCAUCAACGCCUCUCUGAAAUCUGAAGUCUUUCUCCCAUGUCACUUUAAUACAAGCUAUUAUAAUGGAACAUUGACAGUGAAUUGGAGCCACUAUCCCAUUAAUAACAGACUUGUAACGAUCAUGACUGAUGGCAAAAUCAUCUUUGGAAGUCCUAGAGAAGGACGAGUGAAUGUUUUCCCCCUUCUUUCUAAACAUGGAAACUUCUCUAUCCUCAUCAAUGAUCUGCAGUCUUCAGACAUUGAUACCUACUUAUGUCAGCUGAACAGUGAAUGCUGGAGGGUGAAGAUCAUUGAAAGUCGUCCAUACAGAAUCAGUGAGCAAAACCCCUGGUUCUACUUUGCAGCUGGA